AUUUAAAUAGCUUAAAUAAAGCAAAAUCCUGAAGCGAUUGAGAUGAAAUUUCUUUAAAUA
This 60-nucleotide transfer RNA is filed under the name Anaulaciulus koreanus. RNAcentral's name for it is "tRNA-Phe". The record is from RNAcentral. Lineage: Eukaryota; Metazoa; Arthropoda; Diplopoda; Julida; Julidae.